Molecule: long non-coding RNA, 1258 nt
Filed under: Capra hircus (goat)
Lineage: Eukaryota; Metazoa; Chordata; Mammalia; Artiodactyla; Bovidae
Description: lncRNA (ENSCHIG00010016677.1)
Source: RNAcentral
AUGACUGAGGCGCCAGCUUUCGCUUCACCAACAGGGAAGGGUGACCCAAGCACUCUGCAGGCACUAACUUCCUGUACCCUGAGGUCAAGGGGAAGGGGAAAGGUUACCCUGAAGGAUUUGGCAAGCAGCUCCACCCACUUUUAUCAACCAGAGGGCAACCCCCAUCUCAGAAGAGGGGAGGAAUCCUAUGGAGCUGACUGUGGUUCAGACAACACACCUGCACAGGCUCCAGGGCAAUGCCCUGCACUCAGGGCCCAGGUUGACUUGAUGCCCCUAGACCCCACCACCAGGGACAGCCUGCGAGCUGGUACACUGCUGCUGGAUCCAGCUGCCAGCCCAGCACCGGGGCCAGCCGCUUCCCCACGACUCCCAACAGCACGGACUGCUUCCAGAGAGAGACCAACUUCGUGUUACCCCGGAUUCGUGUCCCAGCGGCCCCGAUGCACAAGUCCCUACACAAACACAUACACACAGCCUAGCUACCAAUACCAUCACCCCUACCGGGCAGGAGCAGUGGCCCGGGACGAGCGAACUCCACAGCCGCAGACCCAACUCGACCGAAGUUCCAGUUACAUCAGGAGUUGGGUUUGCUCCCAAGCACAACCCCAAACGACCAACACGGAGAAGCAGGAUCACCAUCUACUCAAACUCCGUCCGCCCCAAAUCCGUGAAAGGCAGAAUGGGACUCAGGGCCAGGGUGGGAGACUGGGAGCACACUUGCGGUGGGGCAGGGGAGGGGACCGCCCUCCCCGGUCGGCGCCAUCCUCCACCCUCUAGCCCGAGCUCCGGGCGGCCGAGGGUCGGUGGCGAACCGAAAGGAGUGCCCAUCCCAAGGCUCGCGGCUGGGGAGGGGAGCAGAGCCCAGGACCACGGCGAUCUGACCCCUCCCUCCCCGAGUGCUCUCACCCACGCCCGGCCCCAGCAGGCACCCGUCCCGGAACGCGGACAGGGCGAGGGCGACAGAACCCCGAGCGCCAGCCGGGUCGACCGCUGCGGCUCUCUCUCCUCUUGGUGCCCGAGUUCGGCUCAGCGGGGUCCCGGCCAAGGCCUCAGCCCCUCGCAGGCAAUCUGAGCAGACAAAGCCAGCGCUGGCCGCCGGGCCGCCCCGGGCCAGAAGCGAGGACGCUGGAGGGACCGACCCUGCACCAGGGGAUCAGUCCUUGUACCCAGAGGGCGCUGGGGGGAGUAGAGGGGAUCGGCUUCAGACAAUGAGCGGGGCAGGGCCCGACGCUCCAGCGGGGGCCCCGCGCUCUACUCA